UGUACAUGCUGUGCUGACCAAGGGCUGGCUUUCCUCUGUGGCCCACUCCUAGAACUGAGCAAUCAGAUAUUCCCAUUGUUGGUGAACUCAUCAACCUUGGUGAACCCAAAGAUUUGCUUGAGCAACCUGGGUUAUAGGAAAAGAAGAUGAAAGCCGAAGAACUCUGCAAAGAUCCAAGCUCAGCCUCUCACUUAAUCAUCUUCUUUAUGGGAGGAAUAAAUGACUUCAGAGUCAAUGUGCCGAGGGCAUCCAAAGUCCUUCUGAGCUGGUGCACUUUGAGACUGAGGAACUUGAAUCGCAAACCCCUGGGGGGCCCAGGACUUAUCUUCUUUAUCUCUUGUAAAGGGCUGAACAGACUGUGGGUAUUCAACAAGUAAUAAAUAACGCCAUAUUCUAUAUCAACGGCAAGUGCAGUCUAGUUGGGAAAAGCCGAUUCUGAUAAAAAUCAAGGUCCAAGCAUCACCCAAGCCUUGGAUUUCAUCCAAAUGUGACCUCGUGGGAAGACUUUUUGAAAAUCGAGAGGAAGGAGGGAAGGAAGCAGGAAGAGAGCUUGAACCCACUCCAGGGGUGUAUUAAGUCGAACAGCUUCGAAGCAUGGGGCAGCCUCGCCUGCAGCCCAGUUUCUCCGGAGAAGAGUCA
This is a long non-coding RNA of Bos taurus (domestic cattle), 639 nucleotides long. The record is from Ensembl. NCBI's taxonomy places the organism in Eukaryota, Metazoa, Chordata, Mammalia, Artiodactyla, Bovidae.